This is a non-coding RNA of Heterocephalus glaber (naked mole-rat), 3525 nucleotides long. Lineage: Eukaryota; Metazoa; Chordata; Mammalia; Rodentia; Bathyergidae. The record is from RefSeq and is a predicted model, not a curated record.
AAACUAUAAAUACAUAUCUGCCCUAUAUUUGCAUUUUAUAAGACAUAGGAACAGUUGUGAAAUCAAACUGGAAAUACUAAGACUUCAAAGGGCCCCAAAACCUGUAAAUUAUAAUAUUAAGGAGCUGGAAUCAUCAAAAAUUCCAUCAUAAACUGAAUUCACCUACUGAUAUACUAAGACAAGUGGGAGAAUUAACAUUGAUUUGGGACCAUAAGGUUAAGGGAGUGAAACAAACAGCCCUAGUUUAACAGCCAAUUUACUAAGUUACAUAUUUAUCCAUGCAGACAGAGUCAGGCUAAACAGCAGGUUCCCCAAAAUCUGAUGGCAACGUGAACAUGGCAGGCAAAAGCCAUUCCUUGCCCUAAGAAAGCCGGGUUUUCUCAGUCAGGACCUACGUGCCCUUCCAACACCCCCUUCAGAUCCUCUCCUCUUUCUAUGAAAGAUUUGAGGGGCAACAGAGGGCUCCAGAAUUUAACUUGGAUCCCACUAGAAAUAAGUUUAGUGAUUUUUAAGUUUCCAAGCUAGACUCCUAAAGUCUUUUUAUCCUAGAUCAUAAGUAGAGUACUUCUAAAUAUUCCCUGUGGAAAGAUACAAUCUGAGUUCCAAGUAAACAUUUUAGAAAAAUAACAUUUGCCAUCAAUCUAUUCUUAAACCAGAAAGAGCUCUACAAUCUAUUUUUCCUCAUCAACCUCCCUUGUUCGGUUUCUCUUUUAAUAUAAUAAAGUCCAAAAUUUGUCGUACGUAGGCAGUUGUUCUUGGAUUGGGGCUCACUUAGUAGACUUUUGCAGGGCAGCAUUUCACCUGCAGACUGAGUCUGAACCACCACAGGAAUGUCCACGGUGACAUCACCACGGCAGUGAUGGAAGCAUCCAUUAUUACCACCCUGAUGCCAGCAUAAAGCACAGGUUAGAGAGGCUAUGGAUGUAGGGAGGGAGGUUGUUGGAUGUGCCUCCCCUGCAGGUAUUUGAAUACAAGACAAUGAAGGCCUGAAACAAAGGACUGGGAUUUGGGGCAAGGACAUGUUUGUUGGCAACUAGUGGAGUUCUUCAAAGGGACUGUAAUGGCUGAGCCCAAAGCAGAGAGAUACACUUGUCUACCAUUUGGCACCUCAAGUUUAUAACCUUGUGGGAUGAAUACACUAGCAUGUGCCUGUGAGCCCCAUCCUUGAGGGGCAAAGGAGAGCUCAGUAUCUUAUUUCUUUAUUAUCGUCAUCCAGACUAAUUUCAAGUGAGUAUUUACUUAACCACUUUAAUUCAAUUUGACUGUACUUAUGGCAUUCAAUCCAACACAUAUUUAUUAAGCUCCUCUAUCAGAAGGAUUCUGACACCUUUCGUUCCUUUCACAGGAUAUCCAAGCUCUUCUUGCAACAUAACCCUCAUGUCUUGCUAUAUCACUAACUAAAAGACCCAAGUGUCAACUAUAAAGAUUUUUGUUGCUUGAGCUCAUUUCUGAAAAUGUACAGUAAGCCAGUAUCUUAUCCUUGAUAAAAAUAUUCCCUCCAUGAUGGGAACAUUAAUUUUAUGUGGCAAUUUGGCUGGGCCAUAGUUCCAGAUAUGUAGCUAAACAUUAUUCUGGACAUUUCUGUGAAUAAAUUUCUAUAUGAAGUCAAUAUUUAAAUCAAUGGAUUUUUAGUAAAAUAGAUUGCCUUCCAAAACAUGAGGGAGCCUUCUCCAAUCAGUCAAAGCCCUGAACAGAAUUUUAAAAAAGGCUGACGUCCCCAAGCAAGAGGGUAUGCUGCACUGGACAGUUUUCAGGAUUGAAAGCCUGAGUCCCUUUCCUGUUGGCCCACCCUACAGAUUUCGGCCUUAUGUGCCUCCAUAGCCAUGCAACCCAAUUCUUCAGAAUAAACCUUUUUCUAUGCAUAUCCACAUCCUAUUGGUUCUAUUUCUCUGGAGAAUCCUAAUACAUCCCCAUUCACCACCCAGGGUGUUGAAGAAGAAAGGAUAGGAGAGGAAGUCUUGGACAGGGCUUGGAGUUUUUUGGAGGAGUGAUUAAAUGCCUUUCUGGGGAAGGGCUAAAGGUAUGUUUCAUGAUGGGCCACUGUGAAAACCAGGGGAGAAAGGUGGACCUCUUGUGAUACUGUCCCAGAAAUAGUUUAGGAAAUGAUUUGGGGCCUCUAAGAAGGCAUCAAGAUUCAAUGCAAUUUGAUCAAUUGAUUUAAAAUAUGUUGAAGUUUUAUUUUUAGGCUCCAUGGUGUUAUGGCCUAUAUCUAGAUGUCCCCAUAACGCCUCGUGCACUCAUAGAUGGGGCUUUGGGGAGGUGACUGGGUCAUGAGUGUGACAGUGGAUUAGUCUACUGAUGGAUUUAUAGCUGGAUGCAAUAUUUGGAGGCCAAUGCUGAGGAUUUAGUUCAGUGGUGCUGAUGCCUGCCUCGAAAGCACAAAGUCCUGAGUUCGAUCUCUGGUACCAAAAUAUAUAUAUAUAUAUUGGAAGGCCAAGCCUGGUGGGAACAGGUGGGUCACUUUGGGCAUGGUCACCAUUGGCAUGGCCUGGGUAUAUCUCCUUCCUCCUCCCUUAAUCCACCUCUGCUUCCUGCCUGCCAUGCCAUGGACUGUUUCUCCUCCACCAUACCUUUCUACCAUGCUGCCUUGCCUUGGAGUCAGCCAACUAUGGACUAAAAUCUCUACCAACUGUGAGGCAAAAGAAACCUCUCCUCCUUUAACUUGUGGGGGUCAGGUAUUUUGUUCCAGCAAUGAGAAAAUAACUAAAACACGGGGUAAAUUUUUGGCCCAUUUCUCUGUGCUGAUUUUUUGAGACCAGAGGGGGCUAGAGGACUGCUUGCUCCACAUUAAAUCCAUGUUAUCAUAUUGGUGAUAAGUACAGGGUCUACCCUGCUUGUCCACUGUUGACCCCAGUCCUUAUUUCUUAUAAAGCAAGUAAGCCUGCCUUCCCUCUUAGGGUCCAGGCAGGGAUGCCCCAGUUUAUGCAGUGAUGGGCUCCAGCAAAUGUGUGUGAUGCAAACCUUUGUGAGUCACUCUAUAUUCUGAAGACAUAUCAGAGGAGAUGGCUAUUUCAAGGAAACUUUACAAGUGGCACUCCUUAAUGUCACAAGCCAUCCUGAUUUAAGAUCAUAACCUCUCUGUAAUUUAUUAGCUUAUGAAAUUCCUUUCCUGCCUAAGAGGUUUAAUUAAAAUAAGACAAAACUAUAUUAAUAACAUUCAGUUGCCUGAAAGAGUUAUUGCAGAAAUCCUUAUGGUAUUACAAGAAAGUAUUUUAAUAUCCCAAAUAAAUGUCAAGUUCCCCAAAUCAAACUGAUAGGCAAAUUAAUGAGGGGUAAAUGUCACUAUUAUCCAUAUUUCCCCAUAUUUUUAGAAAAGAAAACAUUCACACAGCGAAGGGAAUCAGAAUCUGUUUUUAUAUCCCUAGAGUUAUAAACAUUUGUAUCAAAAUAUUUACAAUUAUAGUAUAUGAAAUAAUCUAUUAAUGAAGAAGCCAAAUACAGUACUAGAACAUCCCACUAAUGUAAUGCAAAUUACAUGAGACAUAAAUGUCACAGAAGAAAAAGUAAAAGACAAGGGAAUAUAUG